This 23-nucleotide non-coding RNA is filed under the name Arabidopsis thaliana (thale cress). The record is from RNAcentral. Lineage: Eukaryota; Viridiplantae; Streptophyta; Magnoliopsida; Brassicales; Brassicaceae.
AGAGGAUGCUGAAGUUCUUAGUG